GUGCUCACUUCAGCAGCACAUAUACUAAAAUUGGAAUGAUAUAGAGAAGAUUAGCAUGGCCCCUGUGCAAGGAUGACACGCAAAUUCAUGAAGCGUUCCACAUUUUU
Molecule: small nuclear RNA, 107 nt
Filed under: Sorex araneus (European shrew)
Lineage: Eukaryota; Metazoa; Chordata; Mammalia; Eulipotyphla; Soricidae
Source: RNAcentral